AACGCAUAUGGCACCCGAGACCUCGGUCGAGGGUAUGUCUGCCUCAGAGUCGGCGUAAAAAUAACUCCCCUGCUGGCGUUGCCUCGGCACACACCAGCCCAGGGGGACCUGACCCUCCCGCACCGCAGGUGCGGGUUGGUCGAAGGUGAGAAACGGGUGCACCUGGCCGGAGAACUUCCCGGCUGACCGAGAUUUGUUGGAAGGACUAACGUCCGACUUUUAUCCAUCUCGGUACAGGGGUUUACACACCGCGCCACGGUCGCCCGCGUUGCAGGAAAAGCCGGGGUCCGGGCCGUGCUUCUCGCACGUACCCAGGAGCUCCCCCACUGUAUCCGACCUGAGUUCAGGCAAGAUCACCCGCUGAACUUAA
This 370-nucleotide unclassified non-coding RNA is filed under the name uncultured fungus. RNAcentral describes it as "partial contains 5.8S ribosomal RNA, internal transcribed spacer 2, and large subunit ribosomal RNA". The record is from RNAcentral. Lineage: Eukaryota; Fungi.